RNAcentral lists this unclassified non-coding RNA (215 nucleotides) under Phaeosphaeria podocarpi. Its description in RNAcentral is "partial internal transcribed spacer region". The stretch from base 1 to 46 matches the Rfam family "Eukaryotic small subunit ribosomal RNA", at positions 1786 to 1831 of the family's 1831-position model. The record is from RNAcentral. RNAcentral also lists the same sequence under 2 other names. Lineage: Eukaryota; Fungi; Ascomycota; Dothideomycetes; Pleosporales; Phaeosphaeriaceae.
AAGUCGUAACAAGGUUUCCGUAGGUGAACCUGCGGAAGGAUCAUUACAUUCAGUAGCCUAGCUACUUGUUUACACCCUUGUUUUUUGCGUACCUAUUGUUUCCUCGGCGGGCUUGCUCGCCGGUUGGACAAAACUAUAACCUUUUUUAAAUCUUCAAUCAGCGUCUGAAUUAUACAUAAUAAUUACAACUUUCAACAACGGAUCUCUUGGUUCUG